AUCUAACUGAUGAGUCCGAAAUAGGACGAAACGCGUUUCCUGAAU
This 45-nucleotide non-coding RNA is filed under the name Schistosoma mansoni. The record is from RNAcentral. Lineage: Eukaryota; Metazoa; Platyhelminthes; Trematoda; Strigeidida; Schistosomatidae.